Molecule: long non-coding RNA, 714 nt
Organism: Triticum aestivum (bread wheat)
Lineage: Eukaryota; Viridiplantae; Streptophyta; Magnoliopsida; Poales; Poaceae
Exons: 4
Source: RefSeq, a predicted model, not a curated record
GGUGUGGGCUGCGCGACAGAGCGGGACGGAUGGGGCGCGCUUCCUGGAGCACCUGCGGGUGAUGCAUGCGGUGCCGUUCUGGUAGGAUCCGCGGCGGCCCUACUCUGCGGCGAUGUCGCAGCUGGAUCCGCAUCGACGCGUCACUAUCUGCAACGACACUACUCCGGUAAGCCACUACCUAUGCCUGACAAAUCGAUUCAACGCGGGCUGCUCAGAUCCGCCCCCUCCUCGUCUUCUUAAUCACUGAACUCCUUCUCUCUUCUCUCUGUGCCGCGGCACCAUGAGCAAACCUCACAUGCACGGCGAGGAUGAUGACUGUUUGCCAACGCCGCCGCCCUCGGCAAGGAGGGAUGACAUGCACAAGCACUAAUCACGGAUCCACGAUGGCGCUCCUCUCCAGCGAUGUAGCAGGUGGAUCCGAGGCGACGCAUCCCGAUCUGCAACGCAACAGCUCCGCAACUGGCAUCUCAUGGACUGUUUGAUGUAUAUGUCAAGGCGAUGGGUGACACACACAUUGAUGAUCAUCACUCAAAUGAGGAUAUUGCUUUAGCAAUUGGAACGGCAUUACUUCAAGCACUUGGUGACAGAAAAGGGAUUAACAGGUUUGGGCAUUUUACAACACCACUUGAUGAGGCAGCAGUUGAGGAUAUACUGGGUCUAUAUGGUCGACCUCAUUUGAGCUGCGGCUUAAGUAUUCCUACCGAGAGAGUUGGC